RNAcentral lists this long non-coding RNA (327 nucleotides) under Paramuricea clavata. Lineage: Eukaryota; Metazoa; Cnidaria; Anthozoa; Malacalcyonacea; Plexauridae. The record is from RNAcentral.
UCACAACUUGUCAACAAGAUGUGUUCGCAACAGGCUUGCAGCAAGCUUGUCAACAAGUUGUAACAAUGCUGUUAUUUUAUCAAGUUGCUACAAGGUUGUCACUCACAACUUGUUGACAAAUUGUUGAAUUGCAGGACGAUAACAAGUUGUUGGAACAACUUGUAACAAGUCUGUUGAGCUCAACAACCUUGUAGCAAGUUGUCAACAAGCCAUUGACAACUUGUCAACAAGCUGGGAACAAGCAGUGCGAACACAUCCUGUUGACAAGUUGUUGGAACAGCAUUGCUACAAGUCUGCUGCAGGUUUGUUACAACUUGUGCGUUUUUG